This 265-nucleotide ribosomal RNA is filed under the name uncultured archaeon. RNAcentral describes it as "partial 16S ribosomal RNA". It matches the Rfam family "Archaeal small subunit ribosomal RNA", at positions 717 to 982 of the family's 1478-position model. The record is from RNAcentral.
AGUCACUUGACAUUAGAUACCCCUGUAGUCCCAGCCGUAAACUAUGCGCGUUAGGUGUAUCGGUGACCACGAGUUACCGAGGUGCCGAAGGGAAACCGUGAAACGUGCCGCCUGGGAAGUACGGUCGCAAGGCUGAAACUUAAAGGAAUUGGCGGGGAGCACCACAACAGGUGGAGCCUGCGGUUUAAUUGGACUCAACGCCGGGAAGCUCACCGGAUAGGACAGCAGAAUGAUUGCCGGGCUGAAGACCCUGCAUGACUAGCUG